Cercocebus atys (sooty mangabey) is the source of this 687-nucleotide long non-coding RNA. RefSeq lists it as uncharacterized. NCBI's taxonomy places the organism in Eukaryota, Metazoa, Chordata, Mammalia, Primates, Cercopithecidae. The transcript has 3 exons. The record is from RefSeq and is a predicted model, not a curated record.
AGAGUGCUAUAGGGCCAGGAAUCUGCAUUUCCACAGCUCUCUGGGGAUGCUGAUGCAGGGGUCCAAAGACUAUCUACUGAGGCCCAGUGUAACUUUACUGUGAGACAACUAGUCACCUUCCCACUCAGAGAUGCUUCCCGAGCUGACCACAGCGCCGCCACACCUGGCAUCUGGAAGAGGCUCUGGGAGGGUCCAAGCAACAAACCACGCGGCGUUCUCUGGAGGCUGAGCUGGGACGAGUGGGCGGAAGCAGCCUCAGAAACCUAGACCACCACCAAAUGGAUCUGCUGGCACGUAGACCUCAGAAAAAAGGAAACUGAGGACUGAACUCUGACCGCUAUUUCUUGUUCUACAUUUUUUCUUGAAGGACCUGAAGGAAGUCACGCCCAUGGGCCAGACCUAACGUUCUUUUCUGCUAACUCCCAGUUUUUAAAUAGAGCUUCCCUUCCUUAACCAAUCGCAAAUCAGACAAUUUUUGAAUUCCCCUGUAACCUGUAAGCCCCUACUUCAAGAUAUCCUGUGUGUUAAGGUCAAACCAAUAGGUAGCCUCCAUGUGUUGACUUAUGACUUUGCGUGUAACCUCUGCCUGCCUGCCUUUAGAAAGAAACCAUUGCUUGCAAGCCUUUGGGAAGGUCAGGUGAGCUGCCUGAUUCUCCGUGCUGGGUGCCCUGCAAAUAAACACCCUGU